Molecule: long non-coding RNA, 4022 nt
Filed under: Homo sapiens (human)
Lineage: Eukaryota; Metazoa; Chordata; Mammalia; Primates; Hominidae
Description: HSALNT0242243
Source: RNAcentral
CCGGGCUUGGGUGGGGCUAGGCAGGCUCUGAGGGAUGUGGAACCUGCCUGAGGUUUCUCUGGUCUUGGAGAGGGUAUCCUUUCCUGGGAGAAGGAGCUUACUGAGAAAAGGACUUUCUGAUCCCUAAGGUGGAGGGACUGGGGCUGUGAGCAUCUCAUUCCUCAGCCAUUUGAAAAUAGGAUGGUGUGGGCUGGAGAGAAGGACAACGGACUUUGUCUAACAAUACCAACAUUCCCCAGACUUUUUUUUUUUUUUUGGUGACAGGGUCUCCCUCUGCUGCCCAGGCUGGAGUGCAGUGGUGCAAUUGUGUGAUCAUAGCUCACUGCAGCCUUAACCUCCUUGGCUCAAGAAAUCCUCCUGCUUCAGCUUCCCAAGUAGCUAGGACUACAGGCAUGUGUUGCCCUGCCCAGAUAAUUUUUUAAAAUAUUUUUUGUAGAGAUGGGAUCUCACUGUGUUGCCCAGGCUGAUCUCCAACUCCUGGCCUCAGGUGAUCCUCCCACCUUGACUUCCCAGAGUACUGAAAUUAUAGGUGCAAGCCAGCACACCUGACCCUGGACUCUUACUUAGUACCAGCCAGUGCUCUAAGAGAUUUACUUGGAUUAACUCAUUUAAUCCUCAAAAUAAAACCAUGAGGUAGGUACUUUCAUUAUGUCCUAUUUUAUAGAUGAGGACAUUGAGACACAGAGGGGUUAAGUCCCUGUUCUAUUGGGAAUUCAGACACCUGUUCCAGAUGGUGCCCAAGAAUCUGUAAUGGAGUCAGGCAAAGACAUAAAGAGAAAGUCCACUCAUUCGUUCAUUCAUUCAUUCAUUCAACAGGUAUUGACUCAACUGGCUUUGUAUGCUGGGCACCACUUUGCAAACAGCUUACAGGAUGGACUGCAGUCCUCACAACGAUCUUCAAAGGUCCCAGGAGAGAUCAAAGGCCAGGGCUGGUGAGUUCAGGGAAGAGGAAUUGAGGAUGGCCGGUCCCACCACUAUGUAAUGAGAAGGCUGAAAUUUAUGUGGAGACCUGGAGCAUGGGUAGGACUCUGGGGACACAGCCGAAUUUCCAGGGUGCUUGGCCUAGGCCUGCCGGUGCCUACCCCGUCUUAUCACUCCUCCAGGGAGCCCUGGGCAUCACUCCAUUCCGGAGUCCUGACCCCAACCACAGUCUGCUCCUCCUGUGUCCCCCGGCAGCGUCCUCGCUCCUUGCAGAGUUUGCCUGAUCCACCUCCUAGCACGGGGCUCCCUACGGAGCCUGGGCCACAGCUGGAGGGGCACCCUCUCUACGGCGGGCCCGCCCCCUGCCCCGCGCGCCAGGCGGGCGUGGCCCGCGGGGCGGGCGCCCGGCGAGGGGCUCCGGCGCGGCGGCCGUCACUCACGCACUCACGCGGGAGGAAUGCAGACGGCAGGGCUGCCCUGUGGUCACGUCCCCGCCCCACCGACGGAGGUAGGCGCCCAGGUACCCAGCCUGUGGGCCUUGGGAGCCCGCCAAGCUGCUGAUGAAAGGCGCUGCCAGAUUAACCCUUUCUUGGCCGCACCCCCUUGCUGCUGCCGGCUGCCGGGUGGUCGCAGAGCAGGAGGGUGAGGGGCAGGAGAGGAGUCUAGACACGCCUGGCUAACGAGGGGGCGGCUUUGGCCUCUGCGCGCUUGCCGGGUGGGUGCAGGUCCCCUGCCCCUGCCCUCCCCCUUUCUCUGGCCUUAGGACCCUAGGGCUGACAUGGUUGAGGGACAGGACUCCCAAUAACAUCAUAAACCUCACCACGGGGAUUCUCCACUGGGCACAACCUCCCAUGCUGAUGUGCUCCCUCCUUAAGAGUCACUGUAGCUAAAGAGCACUGGACAGAGAGUCCAGGAACUCAUGCAGUCAUCCAACACAAAUUUUAAAAGCUGAGAGGUGGCUGAUGUCUGUAAUCCCAGCACUUUGGGAAGCUGAGGUGGGAGCAUCGCUUGAGCCCAGGAGCUUGAGACCAGCCUGGGCAACAUAGGGAGAUCCCAUCUCUACCAAAUAAUAAGAAUAAUAUUAAUAUAAAAUAUUAGCCGGGCGUGGUGGCGCUGUGGUCCUAGCUACCUGGGAGGCUGAGGCGGCAGGAUUGCUUGAGCACAGGAGGUCGUGGCUUCAGUGAGCCGUGAUUGUGACACUGCACUCCAGCCUGGGCAACUGGGCAACGGGGAAAGCCAAGUGGGCUCUAUCUCAGUUUUUCCAGUCUGUAGAAUAACAGGGUCGAUAAUUCAAACUAUGGGGUUAUUUAUUUGUGUCUGUAUUCACAGCAACCUUCCUUUCUUCCCCAGGCGGAAUCUCAGGCAGAUGCCUGGUAUAGAAUUCAAACAAAGCGGAGAGUUUCUGGUUGGAGUUGGGAGUGAGGUCCCCCUUUCCCUCUGGCAUCUUCAUCUCAUCUCCUGAGAACCCCUAGGGAGGAUUUCAGGGAACACAGUUUGGAAAGCUUUGAGAGCUAGGUAUGGUGUGAGGUGCCUUUUGGCUCUGAUAUCUUUCUUUCCUUUUGUCUGCAUCUGCUGGGUGAUGCAGAUGUAUCUCUGUUCAGUGGGGGCUUUGCCAGCCUGGACAUUUGCUACAUCUUCUGGGCUCUGUGUGGGGCAUUCUGUGAUGCCCUGAGAUCUGGGCUCCCUCUUCCGGGGUCUGGGUGCUGUUAUCUGUGCUCCCCACUGAAAAUUGGCCCUGGACAAUUUUCAUUCUUUGCCCAUAUCCUGGGGCUUGGGCUCGCCCUCUGUACUUUCUUUGUUGCUGGAUCCAGUACACCGUAAGGUGAUGUUACUCUCAAGUUUCCCCUCAACCCCAUCUGUCUCCCAGACCCUCCUUUCUGGUCUGCUAAGAGUUCUAAGAAUCCAGGGGCCAAGGGAAUACUUUUUGUUUUAACACAGUUGCAGUGGUACAAGCGUGUCUGGUAGGCAAGGUGAGGAGGGCAAAGCUCUUGGGGCUAAACCUGCCUCAAGUUCAGGUGUCCUUCUCCCCCACCCCCGCUCCACCCUCUAACUAACAGCAAGGGAAUCUUCCAGAGAUCAAAGCAUGUCGGUAACCCUCACUGAAUUGGGCCAUGGCCUGGGAGUUCCCAGAUCUCUUCUCCAACUCAUCCAGCCUCCUUGGGAGCCUCCCCCGCCACCUAUAAGGGGCUGGGAGUGUCAAGAGGGGCAGGAAAUCAGAGGCUAAGUCAGGAGGCAGUGCCAAGAGGCGGCAGGAAGCCAGGCGGCCUCAUGCCCAGCCCUAACCACCCCCCACCUCACUCCUCAGUGGUCUCUAUGAGCCUCACUGCCCUGGGGGAAGGUAUACCACCCUGAAGCUGAGUUUCCAGGAGGGGCAAGAGAAUCUAGGCUUUAGCUACAGUAGAACUGCAGAGUAGAUCUCAGAAAGGACUUCUCAACCUGCAUAUCCAUCUCCCUUGAAUACUAGUUCCUUGGGUAUGCUUUACACAGCUUAAAGGUGUUACCACCUCCAAUAUAACAAGACUAGAAAUUUGCAAAUCACCCUUAGUGCUCCGCUCCCUUCACCAUCCAACUGGCCACUGAGUCCCAUCCUUUCUGCAGCAUUAGUGGUUUGAAGGUACCCUCUUUGCUUUCCAUUUCCAUUGCUCCUGAUUCAGUUGACACCUUUUCUAACCAGCCCCUGAGACUAUUGCAAUAGUGGCUGGUUCCCCUGACUCCCAGGAGCACACCCCCGUCCUCCCUUCCCUCCCCAGUCCCUCCUCCACACUGCACCAAGAGGGAUGUCAGAACACAGGUUGGAGCAUGCCACUCUUAUGCUCAAAAACCUUUGAUGGCUCCCCAUUGCCGGCAGGAUAAAGUUCCAACAUUGCCUGGCAUUUACAGCCUGCCCUGAUCUGGUGCCAACCUACCUUGCCAGCCUGGGUCCCUACUGUGUACUUUAUCUCCUCAACUCCAGCCACAUCCUAUGGCUCGUCUUAUCCCAGACCUGCUGUGCAUUUUCAUGGCCGACCACCUUGGCUCAUAGACAAGCUUGUUCCUAGCACUUACAGUGUUGUGGGGGAGGAGGAUUAAUCACAUAAUCCCGUAAAUAAAUAUAUCCUAAC